GAUGAAGAACGCAGCGAAAUGCGAUAAGUAAUGUGAAUUGCAGAAUUCAGUGAAUCAUCGAAUCUUUGAACGCACAUUGCGCCCGCUAGUAUUCUGGCGGGCAUGCCUGUCCGAGCGUCAUUUCAACCCUCAAGCCCCCGGGCUUGGUGUUGGGGAUCGGCGAGCCUCCGCGCCCGCCGUCCCCUAAAUCUAGUGGCGGUCUCGCUGUAGCUUCCUCUGCGUAGUAGCACACCUCGCACUGGGAAACAGCGCGGCCACGCCGUUAAACCCCCAACUUCUGAACGUUUGACCUCGGAUCAGGUAGGAAUACCCGCUGAACUUAAGCAUAUCAAUAAGCGGAUGA
This 343-nucleotide unclassified non-coding RNA is filed under the name soil metagenome. RNAcentral describes it as "partial contains 5.8S ribosomal RNA, internal transcribed spacer 2, and large subunit ribosomal RNA". The stretch from base 1 to 120 matches the Rfam family "5.8S ribosomal RNA", at positions 35 to 154 of the family's 154-position model. The record is from RNAcentral.